Molecule: ribosomal RNA, 762 nt
Filed under: Bacteroides xylanisolvens
Lineage: Bacteria; Pseudomonadati; Bacteroidota; Bacteroidia; Bacteroidales; Bacteroidaceae
Description: bacterial SSU rRNA
Rfam family: Bacterial small subunit ribosomal RNA
Source: RNAcentral
AUUUUAGUUUGCUUGCAAACUAAAGAUGGCGACCGGCGCACGGGUGAGUAACACGUAUCCAACCUGCCGAUAACUCGGGGAUAGCCUUUCGAAAGAAAGAUUAAUAUCCGAUAGUAUAUUAAAACCGCAUGGUUUUACUAUUAAAGAAUUUCGGUUAUCGAUGGGGAUGCGUUCCAUUAGUUUGUUGGCGGGGUAACGGCCCACCAAGACUACGAUGGAUAGGGGUUCUGAGAGGAAGGUCCCCCACAUUGGAACUGAGACACGGUCCAAACUCCUACGGGAGGCAGCAGUGAGGAAUAUUGGUCAAUGGACGAGAGUCUGAACCAGCCAAGUAGCGUGAAGGAUGACUGCCCUAUGGGUUGUAAACUUCUUUUAUAUGGGAAUAAAGUAUUCCACGUGUGGGAUUUUGUAUGUACCAUAUGAAUAAGGAUCGGCUAACUCCGUGCCAGCAGCCGCGGUAAUACGGAGGAUCCGAGCGUUAUCCGGAUUUAUUGGGUUUAAAGGGAGCGUAGGUGGAUUGUUAAGUCAGUUGUGAAAGUUUGCGGCUCAACCGUAAAAUUGCAGUUGAAACUGGCAGUCUUGAGUACAGUAGAGGUGGGCGGAAUUCGUGGUGUAGCGGUGAAAUGCUUAGAUAUCACGAAGAACUCCGAUUGCGAAGGCAGCUCACUAGACUGCAACUGACACUGAUGCUCGAAAGUGUGGGUAUCAAACAGGAUUAGAUACCCUGGUAGUCCACACAGUAAACGAUGAAUACUCGCUGUU